Molecule: long non-coding RNA, 260 nt
Filed under: Capsicum annuum
Lineage: Eukaryota; Viridiplantae; Streptophyta; Magnoliopsida; Solanales; Solanaceae
Description: long non-coding RNA (CANN_LNC011096)
Source: RNAcentral
ACCGGAAUGCUACACGGUGCUCAUGAUCCCGAAGGACCACAAGCUAACCCAUGACUGAUAUCUGUACCUGUAACUGCAUAAUAUUCAUAUAAAAUGCGGAAACAUGAACAAAGAGGGUAUAAGGUUCAAUCUUGAAUAAUAAGAUAUCUGAAAUAAGGUGGUAUCACAGUACCAAAACAAAAUUGAAAAUACUAAAGUCUAAAUCUGAAAACUCUAUAAUCAUCUGAAAGCCUCUAAACUGUCUGAAUAAGGAGUUGAAG